This 519-nucleotide ribosomal RNA is filed under the name uncultured bacterium. Its description in RNAcentral is "bacterial SSU rRNA". It matches the Rfam family "Bacterial small subunit ribosomal RNA", at positions 28 to 556 of the family's 1533-position model. The record is from RNAcentral.
GACGAACGCUGGCGGCGUGCUUAACACAUGCAAGUCGAGGGCGGUAGCAAUACCGACCGGCGAACGGGUGCGUAACACGUGAGCAACCUGCCUUGAUGCGGGGGAUAGCCGGCCCAACGGCCGGGUAAUACCGCGUACGGUCGUCUGGAGGAGUCUCCGGACGAAGAAACCCUUCGGGGGCAUCAAGAGGGGCUCGCGGCCUAUCAGCUUGUUGGCGGGGUAACGGCCCACCAAGGCGAUGACGGGUAGCUGGUCUGAGAGGAUGGCCAGCCACAUUGGGACUGAGAAACGGCCCAGACUCCUACGGGAGGCAGCAGUGGGGAAUAUUGCGCAAUGGUCGAAAGGACUGACGCAGCGACGCCGCGUGAGGGAGGAAGCUCUUCGGGGUGUAAACCUCUGUUGCCCGGAACGAAACUCACCUUUCGAGGUGAUUGACGGUACCGGGUGAGGAAGCGCCGGCUAACUCUGUGCCAGCAGCCGCGGUAAUACAGAGGGCGCGAGCGUUGCCCGGAAUCACGU